RNAcentral lists this ribosomal RNA (493 nucleotides) under uncultured bacterium. RNAcentral describes it as "partial 16S ribosomal RNA". It matches the Rfam family "Bacterial small subunit ribosomal RNA", at positions 28 to 523 of the family's 1533-position model. The record is from RNAcentral.
GACGAACGCUGGCGGCGUGCUUAACACAUGCAAGUCGAACGCUGAAGCCCUUUCGGGGGUGGAUGAGUGGCGAACGGGUGAGUAACACGUGGGUAAUCUGCCCUGUACUUCGGGAUAAGCCUUGGAAACGGGGUCUAAUACCGGAUAGGACCUGUCCUCGCAUGGGGGUGGGUGGAAAGUUCCGGCGGUAUGGGAUGAGCCCGGGGCCUAUCAGCUUGUUGGUGGGGUAGUGGCCUACCAAGGCGACGACGGGUAGCCGGCCUGAGAGGGUGACCGGCCACACUGGGACUGAGACACGGCCCAGACUCCUACGGGAGGCAGCAGUGGGGAAUCUUGCGCAAUGGGCGAAAGCCUGACGCAGCAACGCCGCGUGGAGGAUGACGGCCUUCGGGUUGUAAACCUCUUUCGACAUCAACGAAGGGGCCCUGUUGUGGGGUUUUGACGGUAGGUGUAGAAGAAGCACCGGCUAACUACGUGCCAGCAGCCGCCGUAA